Molecule: ribosomal RNA, 468 nt
Filed under: uncultured bacterium
Lineage: Bacteria
Description: partial 16S ribosomal RNA
Rfam family: Bacterial small subunit ribosomal RNA
Source: RNAcentral
GACGAACGCUGGCGGCGUGCUUAACACAUGCAAGUCGAACGGAAAGGCCCUGCUUUUGUGGGGUGCUCGAGUGGCGAACGGGUGAGUAACACGGGAGUAUCCUGCCCUUGACUUUGGGAUAACUUCAGGAAACUGGGGCUAAUACCGGCUAGGAGCUCCUGCUGCAUGGUGGGGGUUGGAAAGUUUCGGCGGUUGGGGAUGGACGGGCGGCUUAUCAGCUUGUUGGUGGGGUAGUGGCUUACCAAGGCUUUGACGGGUAGCCGGCAUGAGAGGGGGACCGGCGACAUUGGGACUACGAGACGGACCAGACUCCUACGGGAGGCAGCAGUGGAGAAUAUUGCACAAUGGGCGGAAGCCUGAUGCGGCAGCGCCGCGUGCGGGAUGACGGCCUUCGGGUUGUAAACCGCUUUAGCCUGUGACGAAGCGUGAGUGACGGUAAUGGGUAAAGAAGCACCGGCUAACUACGUG